AUUAAUAAUUUAGAUGGCCUUUGCUAGUUUUCUAGCGAAUGGUUCAUUCUUUUUUACUGUGAACUGUUUUAAUUUUUCAGCGUCUGAGGAAUGUCUUUUAGCCAUAGGGAUAGGCUACUAGAAUGUUAACCGAGCUGAAAGUCAGGCUUAGGCCUGGUAUCCUAUUAAUUAUUUACCAAAAGAAUUCAGUAUUAUAAUUGUAACAUAAGCGUAAAAAACUUAUAAAACAACUUUUAACAACGGAUCUCUUGGUUCUCGCAUCGAUGAAGAACGUAGCAAAGUGCGAUAACUAGUGUGAAUUGCAUAUUCAGUGAAUCAUCGAGUCUUUGAACGCAACUUGCGCUCAAUGGUAUUCCAUUGAGCACGCCUGUUUCAGUAUCAAAAACACCCCACAUUCAUAAUUUUGUUGUGAAUGGAAUUGAGAGUUUCGGCUUUAUUGCUGAAUUCUUUAAAAUUAUUAGGCCUGAACUAUUGUUCUUUCUGCCUGAACAUUUUUUUAAUAUAAAGGAAUGCUCUAGUAAAAAGACUAUCUCUGGGGCCUCCCAAAUAAAUCAUUCUUAAAUUUGAUCUGAAAUCAGGCGGGAUUACCCGCUGAACUUAAGCAUAUCAAUAA
This 613-nucleotide ribosomal RNA is filed under the name Mucor hiemalis. Its description in RNAcentral is "eukaryotic LSU rRNA". The stretch from base 229 to 381 matches the Rfam family "5.8S ribosomal RNA". Lineage: Eukaryota; Fungi; Mucoromycota; Mucoromycetes; Mucorales; Mucoraceae. The record is from RNAcentral.